Molecule: ribosomal RNA, 2906 nt
Filed under: Yersinia pestis biovar Mediaevalis str. K1973002
Lineage: Bacteria; Pseudomonadati; Pseudomonadota; Gammaproteobacteria; Enterobacterales; Yersiniaceae
Description: bacterial LSU rRNA
Rfam family: Bacterial large subunit ribosomal RNA
Source: RNAcentral
GGUUAAGCGACUAAGCGUACACGGUGGAUGCCUAGGCAGUCAGAGGCGAUGAAGGGCGUGCUAAUCUGCGAAAAGCGUCGGUAAGCUGAUAUGAAGCGUUAUAACCGACGAUACCCGAAUGGGGAAACCCAGUGCAAUACGUUGCACUAUCGUUAGAUGAAUACAUAGUCUAACGAGGCGAACCGGGGGAACUGAAACAUCUAAGUACCCCGAGGAAAAGAAAUCAACCGAGAUUCCCCCAGUAGCGGCGAGCGAACGGGGAGGAGCCCAGAGUCUGAAUCAGUUUGUGUGUUAGUGGAAGCGUCUGGAAAGUCGCACGGUACAGGGUGAUAGUCCCGUACACCAAAAUGCACAGGCUGUGAACUCGAUGAGUAGGGCGGGACACGUGACAUCCUGUCUGAAUAUGGGGGGACCAUCCUCCAAGGCUAAAUACUCCUGACUGACCGAUAGUGAACCAGUACCGUGAGGGAAAGGCGAAAAGAACCCCGGCGAGGGGAGUGAAAUAGAACCUGAAACCGUGUACGUACAAGCAGUGGGAGCACCUUCGUGGUGUGACUGCGUACCUUUUGUAUAAUGGGUCAGCGACUUAUAUUUUGUAGCAAGGUUAACCGAAUAGGGGAGCCGUAGGGAAACCGAGUCUUAACUGGGCGUCUAGUUGCAAGGUAUAGACCCGAAACCCGGUGAUCUAGCCAUGGGCAGGUUGAAGGUUGGGUAACACUAACUGGAGGACCGAACCGACUAAUGUUGAAAAAUUAGCGGAUGACUUGUGGCUGGGGGUGAAAGGCCAUCAAACCGGGAGAUAGCUGGUUCUCCCCGAAAGCUAUUUAGGUAGCGCCUCGUGAACUCAUCUUCGGGGGUAGAGCACUGUUUCGGCUAGGGGGCCAUCCCGGCUUACCAAACCGAUGCAAACUCCGAAUACCGAAGAAUGUUAUCACGGGAGACACACGGCGGGUGCUAACGUCCGUCGUGAAGAGGGAAACAACCCAGACCGCCAGCUAAGGUCCCAAAGUCAUGGUUAAGUGGGAAACGAUGUGGGAAGGCACAGACAGCCAGGAUGUUGGCUUAGAAGCAGCCAUCAUUUAAAGAAAGCGUAAUAGCUCACUGGUCGAGUCGGCCUGCGCGGAAGAUGUAACGGGGCUAAACCAUGCACCGAAGCUGCGGCAGCGACACUUAGGUGUUGUUGGGUAGGGGAGCGUUCUGUAAGCCGUUGAAGGUGACCUGUGAGGGUUGCUGGAGGUAUCAGAAGUGCGAAUGCUGACAUAAGUAACGAUAAUGCGGGUGAAAAACCCGCACGCCGGAAGACCAAGGGUUCCUGUCCAACGUUAAUCGGGGCAGGGUGAGUCGACCCCUAAGGCGAGGCUGAAAAGCGUAGUCGAUGGGAAACAGGUUAAUAUUCCUGUACUUGGUGUUACUGCGAAGGGGGGACGGAGAAGGCUAGGCUGGCCGGGCGACGGUUGUCCCGGUUUAAGCGUGUAGGGGGAGUGACCAGGUAAAUCCGGUUGCUUAUCAACCCUGAGGCGUGAUGACGAUGCACCACGGUGCAGAAGCAGUUGAUGCCAUGCUUCCAGGAAAAGCCUCUAAGCAUCAGGUAACAUUAAAUCGUACCCCAAACCGACACAGGUGGUCAGGUAGAGAAUACUCAGGCGCUUGAGAGAACUCGGGUGAAGGAACUAGGCAAAAUGGUGCCGUAACUUCGGGAGAAGGCACGCUGGCGUUAGGUGAAAGGACUAGCUCCUGGAGCUGAAGCCAGUCGCAGAUACCAGCUGGCUGCAACUGUUUAAUAAAAACACAGCACUGUGCAAACACGAAAGUGGACGUAUACAGUGUGACGCCUGCCCGGUGCUGGAAGGUUAAUUGAUGGGGUCAGCCGCAAGGCGAAGCUCUUGAUCGAAGCCCCAGUAAACGGCGGCCGUAACUAUAACGGUCCUAAGGUAGCGAAAUUCCUUGUCGGGUAAGUUCCGACCUGCACGAAUGGCGUAAUGAUGGCCAGGCUGUCUCCACCCGAGACUCAGUGAAAUUGAACUCGCUGUGAAGAUGCAGUGUACCCGCGGCAAGACGGAAAGACCCCGUGAACCUUUACUAUAGCUUGACACUGAACAUUGAGCCUUGAUGUGUAGGAUAGGUGGGAGGCCUUGAAGUGUGGACGCCAGUCUGCAUGGAGCCAACCUUGAAAUACCACCCUUUAAUGUUUGAUGUUCUAACUCGGCCCCAUGAUCUGGGGUGAGGACAGUGUCUGGUGGGUAGUUUGACUGGGGCGGUCUCCUCCCAAAGAGUAACGGAGGAGCACGAAGGUUAGCUAAUCACGGUCGGACAUCGUGAGGUUAGUGCAAAGGCAUAAGCUAGCUUGACUGCGAGAGUGACGGCUCGAGCAGGUACGAAAGUAGGUCUUAGUGAUCCGGUGGUUCUGAAUGGAAGGGCCAUCGCUCAACGGAUAAAAGGUACUCCGGGGAUAACAGGCUGAUACCGCCCAAGAGUUCAUAUCGACGGCGGUGUUUGGCACCUCGAUGUCGGCUCAUCACAUCCUGGGGCUGAAGUAGGUCCCAAGGGUAUGGCUGUUCGCCAUUUAAAGUGGUACGCGAGCUGGGUUUAGAACGUCGUGAGACAGUUCGGUCCCUAUCUGCCGUGGGCGUUGGAAGAUUGAGAGGGGCUGCUCCUAGUACGAGAGGACCGGAGUGGACGAAUCACUGGUGUUCGGGUUGUCAUGCCAAUGGCAUUGCCCGGUAGCUAAAUUCGGAAGAGAUAACCGCUGAAAGCAUCUAAGCGGGAAACUUGCCUCGAGAUGAGUCUUCCCUGGGGCUUAAAGCCCCCUGAAGGAACGUUAAAGACUAUGACGUUGAUAGGCUGGGUGUGUAAGUGCAGCGAUGUAUUGAGCUAACCAGUACUAAUGAUCCGUGAGGCUUAACCUU